RNAcentral lists this long non-coding RNA (2079 nucleotides) under Homo sapiens (human). RNAcentral's name for it is "HSALNT0354405". Lineage: Eukaryota; Metazoa; Chordata; Mammalia; Primates; Hominidae. The record is from RNAcentral.
AGGCGCUCGCUGAGCUCCCGCAGCAGCCGCACGCGUCGCCGGAACGCCUGGCCCAGCCGCUCCACUCUGCUCCCCGCCGCUUCGUCGCCAGGAGCGGGCGGCGCGGGGAUACUCCCGGGGGCCCCGGGCGCGGUCUCGGGGAAGAGGCGGAAGCUGAAAUUGCGCGACGGGGACAUCUGCUGAAAGGUCGCCCAGCCCGAAACGAGCGCCAGACCCCAGCAACAAAAGGCCAGGCGAGGCCACAUCGCGCUGGAGACAGAGCGGCUGCCCCGGAGCGCAGGCGGCGGCUCGGGCGGGAAGAGGCGCUGGGCGGCCGGACUCGCAGAGGGGCGUGCGCGGAGCUGGGCGCGGGGCAGCGGCCAAGAGCCUCAGCGCCCUUUCAUCUGACACUGGGGACAGACACAAUCCAGACUCCUCAGCAGCUCGGGAACUCCGGAGGGAACGGCGCGCGCUCUCUACCCCUCUCGCUCUCCUCUUUUUUUCUUCCCUCUCUCCUCCUCCUCUCUCUCCCUGAAGCCUAUAAAAUGUUUGAAGGAAAGGGGGCAGUCAAGAAAAAUCUCCCGCUUCCCUCCUUCUCUCCCUCUCUCCCUCUCCCCGCUCCUGUCUACUUUCUGUAUCUGUGACUCUAUCUCCCUCCUCCCCCUCUCAUUCUCCUCCCGGGAUCAAGCCAAAGGCUCGGAGAUUCCAUGACACCAGAACCCCGCGUCUGUCAGGCUGUCAACAUUCCCGCAGCAAGCGCACCAGCGCCGAAGCCCUGAUUGAUCCCAUAUGUCUGGCAGGAGCUGCAGAGGAAUUCACUGGAGAUGGAUCCAGAUACCGAGAGUGCCACAGUAAUUGGAAACACUUUGUAGACGAAAACAUACACGCGGACUGGCCAGGGAGUUGAAAGCAUCCUUUGAAAACUGCUUGCUCACCUUUUGUGUUUCUUUUCCCCCAUUCAGUGUCCCAAAGCCCUCGCCAAAUAGAUGAUUGUACAAUUUUCCUGAUGGGGAUUUCUAAUCAGUGGUGUGUGUGAGCGUGCAGAUUAAGCCCUUAAGGGCCCCCUCAGAUCACACCAUAAAGGAGUUGCAUCUAACCUUAUGCGUUCCACAGGAAUGAUUUGUCAUGGUACUUCAGUCGUGCAUUUAUUCAUUCAUCUGUUUGUUCAUUCUUUCCUGAUUUUAACAAAUAUUUUUUGAAUACCCAUUGUGUGCCAGGAACUAUGUGAGGCACUGCAAAUAUAAGGAACAAAAAUUGACAGGGAUUCUAUCCUCAAUGAACUUAAAGGGUAACAAGUGAGGUGACCAUUAACCAGAUAUUAACAUACAAAAUAUAUGUAAUUACAAGUGACCAUGCUAAAUAAAGGAGAGCUUAGGUAGACAGACUUGACCUUGGAGAGGCCAGAGAAGCCUUCUCUGAGGACAGAAAGUUUGUGCUGAAGUCUGAAGUGUAAGUAGGGGGUCCCCAGUCCCCUUUCAUGUGUUCUUGAUCUAUUUCAACAGAUAAGAUCCACCUGGCUUUAAGUGGUACCUGGCAUAUAUCUGCUUUGAAACAAGUUGCUACCUGGGGUGGUUUUUCCAAAGCAAGACCUCCAAAGGGGAGAGCGCACGUGUAAAGAAAAGGUGCACUUUGCAUGAGGGUGGGGCCUUUGGUUAAAAGAUUCCAGCUGGGAGUCAGGAACACCGUGUAGGUAAGCCUACGGUUAUGUAAACCACCUGAACUGAGUCACUUCCAAUCCUUGGCUCAGCAUCAGUAUCUAUUUCAUGAUGGAAUUCAGUGAUCUCAGUUUCCUCUGUUUCUAAUAGUGAAUGAUUUAACUCCGUCUGUAUUUAACAAAAUACUUUCAGUGACAAGUAUCACAAUGUAUUGUGUAACAUGUUAGGGCUCUGGCAUCAGUUUUCCUGGACGAAAUCAUGACUCUGCCAUUUAUUAGUUGUACAGCCUUGACUCAGUUUGUUCAUUUGUAAAAUGGAGUAAUAACGAUAACAUAUUAAGGGCUGUCAUAAGGAUUAAGUCAUAAAAAAGUAAAAUUCUUAGGACAAUGCUUGGAGCAUAGCGUGUACUCAAUAAAUGCUGGCUGGUUGCUCUUAUUGCCACCUU